This 553-nucleotide ribosomal RNA is filed under the name uncultured freshwater bacterium. Its description in RNAcentral is "bacterial SSU rRNA". It matches the Rfam family "Bacterial small subunit ribosomal RNA", at positions 8 to 607 of the family's 1533-position model. The record is from RNAcentral.
AGAGUUUGAUCCUGGCUCAGAACGAACGCUGGCGGCAUGCCUAACACAUGCAAGUCGAACGAACCCUUCGGGGUUAGUGGCGCACGGGUGCGUAACGCGUAGGAAUCUGCCCUUAGGUACGGAAUAACAGUGAGAAAUUACUGCUAAUACCGUAUGAUGUCUUCGGACCAAAGAUUUAUCGCCUAGGGAUGAGCCCGCGUAGGAUUAGCUAGUUGGUGAGGUAAAGGCUCACCAAGGCUACGAUCCUUAGCUGGUCUGAGAGGAUGAUCAGCCACACUGGGACUGAGACACGGCCCAGACUCCUACGGGAGGCAGCAGUGGGGAAUAUUGGACAAUGGGCGAAAGCCUGAUCCAGCAAUGCCGCGUGAGUGAAGAAGGCCUUCGGGUUGUAAAGCUCUUUUACCCGGGAAGAUAAUGACCGUACCGGGAGAAUAAGCCCCGGCUAACUCCGUGCCAGCAGCCGCGGUAAUACGGAGGGGGCUAGCGUUGUUCGGAAUCACUGGGCGUAAAGCGUGCGUAGGCGGCCAUUCAAGUCAGAGGUGAAAGCCCAGGG